Molecule: ribosomal RNA, 300 nt
Filed under: uncultured bacterium
Lineage: Bacteria
Description: bacterial SSU rRNA
Rfam family: Archaeal small subunit ribosomal RNA
Source: RNAcentral
UCCUGGCUGUAAACGAUGAGGGCUAGGUGUUUGCGUGGCUACGGGCUGCGCAAGUGCCGCAGAGAAGUCGUUAAGCCCUCCGCCUGGGGAGUACGGCCGCAAGGCUGAAACUUAAAGGAAUUGGCGGGGGAGCACCACAAGGGGUGAAGCCUGCGGUUUAAUUGGACUCAACGCCGGGAAACUUACCGGGGGCGACAGCUGGAUGAAAGCCAGGCUGAUGACCUUGCUGGACUAGCUGAGAGGAGGUGCAUGGCCGUCGCCAGUUCGUGCCGUGAGGUGUCCUGUUAAGUCAGGCAACGA